GAGCACGUAGGUGGGUUUGUAAGUCAGAUGUGAAAGCCUUCUGUUCAACGGAAGAAUUGCAUCUGAAACUGCGAAUCCUGAGUGUAGGAGGGGAGAAUGGAACUUCUGGUGGAGCGGUGAAAUGCGUAAAUAUCAGAAGGAACGCCGGCGGCGAAAGCGAUUCUCUGGCCUAUUACUGACACUCAGUGUGCGAAAGCUAGGGGAGCAAACGGGAUUAGAUACCCCGGUAGUCCUAGCCGUAAACGAUGGGCACUAAGUAGAGGGAAUUACCGAUGUUCUCUCUGCCGUAGCUAACGCAUUAAGUGCCCCGCCUGGGGAGUACGGCCGCAAGGCUAAAACUCGAAAGAAUUGACGGGGGCUCGCACAAGCGGUGGAGCAUGUGGCUUAAUUCGAUGCAACGCGAAAAACCUUACCGGGGCUUGACAUGAUAGAAGUAGGAACCUGAAAGGGGGACGAACGGUAUCCAGUCCGUAGCUAUUACAGGUGUUGCAUGGCUGUCGUCAGCUCGUGUCGUGAGACGUUGGGUUAAGUCCCCUAACGAGCGAAACCCUUGUUUUUAGUUACCAGCGGGUUAUGCCGGGUACUCUAGAAAGACUGCCGUCGUCAAGACGGAGGAAGGUGGGGAUGACGUCAAGUCAUCAUGGCCCUUAUGCCCCGGGCUGCACACGUGCUACAAUGGUCGGUACAGACGGAAGCGAAGCCGAGAGGUGAAGCGAAUCCA
This 721-nucleotide ribosomal RNA is filed under the name uncultured Planctomycetales bacterium. RNAcentral describes it as "bacterial SSU rRNA". It matches the Rfam family "Bacterial small subunit ribosomal RNA", at positions 565 to 1275 of the family's 1533-position model. The record is from RNAcentral. Lineage: Bacteria; Pseudomonadati; Planctomycetota; Planctomycetia; Planctomycetales.